GGGGACCAGGUGGAUGGACUGGGGACCAGGUGGAUGGACUGGGGACCAGGUGGAUGGACUGGGACCAGGUGGAUGGACUGGGGACCAGGUGGAUGGACUGUGGACCAGGUGGACCAGGUGGAUGGACUGGGGACCAGGUGGAUGGACAGGGGACCAGGUGGACCAGGUGGAUGGACUUGGACCAGGUGGAUGGACAGGGGACCAGGUGGACCAGGUGGAUGGACUGGGGACCAGGUGGAUGGACUGGGGACCAGGUGGAU
Oncorhynchus tshawytscha (Chinook salmon) is the source of this 260-nucleotide long non-coding RNA. Lineage: Eukaryota; Metazoa; Chordata; Actinopteri; Salmoniformes; Salmonidae. The record is from Ensembl.